This 367-nucleotide ribosomal RNA is filed under the name Enterobacter kobei. Its description in RNAcentral is "bacterial SSU rRNA". Lineage: Bacteria; Pseudomonadati; Pseudomonadota; Gammaproteobacteria; Enterobacterales; Enterobacteriaceae. The record is from RNAcentral.
CCUACGGGAGGCAGCAGUGGGGAAUAUUGCACAAUGGGCGCAAGCCUGAUGCAGCCAUGCCGCGUGUAUGAAGAAGGCCUUCGGGUUGUAAAGUACUUUCAGCGGGGAGGAAGGUGUUGWGGUUAAUAACCWCAGCAAUUGACGUUACCCGCAGAAGAAGCACCGGCUAACUCCGUGCCAGCAGCCGCGGUAAUACGGAGGGUGCAAGCGUUAAUCGGAAUUACUGGGCGUAAAGCGCACGCAGGCGGUCUGUCAAGUCGGAUGUGAAAUCCCCGGGCUCAACCUGGGAACUGCAUUCGAAACUGGCAGGCUAGAGUCUUGUAGAGGGGGGUAGAAUUCCAGGUGUAGCGGUGAAAUGCGUAGAGAU